UUCAUUAGCACAAAAAUCCCGUUAAGUAGGUCUUAUCAUCCUCAUUUUAUGGAUGAUGUAGAACAAAUAUGUUACUUACAAAAAAUUAUAAAAUUACUAAGUGGUAGGAUGAAAAUUUCCAUCCAUGGGUGGAAUCAAGGUUCUUUCCAGUACUUUAUAUGGCCUUUUGUUCUUGAGAAAGGGGAGAUUCUCACCACCUAAUUGUAGCUCCAGUAAUAAGGGUAUCAUCCAAUCUAACUUCCCUCAAGAAAGCUAAAGGAUGCCUAAAAUAGAAACACCUAAUGGACAUAAGAGAUGCAGAAUAAUCUCUAGUCUUAAUUUUUCUGUCAGCUACUCCAUAUUCUUUGUCACAUUCAUGUGGACUCAAAGAAGGCAAGGUUCAACCAAUCUUCAGAAAUCUUGUCAACGCAGAGCUUCAUACAUCUACUAACUAAUCGGAUUUGAUAUGUAGGUCAUGGUCUUUAUAUCUUCCUUUGUCUAACUAGAGACACCAGCAAGCAAAUAGAUAAAUUCAACACUGAAUAAAAGGAAAGAUGGUUAGACAAGAAUACUGAAUACAUAACAAAAGGAAAGAGGUUGAGAAUGGCCUGCAAAGAUCAAGAUCAAGAUCAAGUUCAGCUCCACAGUUUCAAAAGGCGAGAAUGGCAGACAUGAUCACCUCAAUUUCCCAUACGAGGAAAUGGGAGUAGACAGCCAUUCAUAUGCCAAAAUCACGGGUGUCACAAAGGCCAAAUUGGAAGGAAGACACCCUGCCUGCCAGCUCAUUGGCUAAUCACUGUUGCAGGGGACUCCUACAAAUCCACAGCAUAGCAGGGACAUCCUUUUGUAAUGACCAUGACUUUGCAGCUCCUCUCAACAAGAAGGCCAGCUCUCAGACGUUGCAAACUAUCAGCCUGGAUUCCCAAGGAAUUUUUGUCUUAUCCUGCAGGUGAGAUCUCCAGGCCAGGGAGUUGAUCAGUGAGCAAUGAAUGAACAUCUAUUAUUUUCUGGAUAUAUAUAUCUCAUCAAGUGCAUCUUUUGAGGAGUAUCAACCAUUUGUGCUAUGCUGGCAAAUUUCAUGUCUACCACAAGAAAGGUGGACUGAGGGAGAUUUCAUGCUGAUCAAGUCAACCCAAACCUGUGCCUUAAGGUUAAAAAUGGAAACCUAAGGAAACCAGUCACAAACCACCAAGUAAUGUUCUUAAAUAAUAUAGCCACUUCAGCAAGAGGCCAUCAAAUGAUUUCCUUGAUUUGCUUCUUUAUUAAAUCUUUCCCCUAGUUCCUCUCAGUGGGACACUGCUAACCACUUCCAGUUUGGCUAUGCCCAAUUCGGAUGAAUUUUUGCUCAAAUAAACU
Long non-coding RNA from Mustela erminea (ermine), 1335 nucleotides. RefSeq lists it as uncharacterized. NCBI's taxonomy places the organism in Eukaryota, Metazoa, Chordata, Mammalia, Carnivora, Mustelidae. The record is from RefSeq and is a predicted model, not a curated record. The transcript is spliced from 8 exons.